UGUGUGUGUGAUUUUUUUUUUAAAACGUGCCAAAACCACUGCAGUAUAUUUAAAACAAAACAACAACAACAACAAAAAACAACAACUAGCUGGAUACAAGUAUCGUAUAUACUGUAACUUCAUGUUUUUAUUUCAUGUUUUACAAGUGCUCAAUGUGACCACCAACAGCGGCACGGACAACAUCAAUCCGAUAUGAAAAUUACUCCCAAACGCCCUUCAGCAUAUCCUAGUCCACUGUGUUGAUUGCAGCUUUUAUUCGAGCUUUCAAGUCAUUGAUCUUUACUGGCAACAGUGGAACAAAAACUGUCUUUAACAUACCCUCACAGGAUAUCCAGUUAAAGUUAACAAUGAUUGACAGAUGUUAAGGUUUGAUCUUGCCAGAUAUGCUUGGAAGCCAAAGCUCUUUUUUUAAUUAUACUUUGGGGGAAAAAGUGGGAAAAACAUGUCUUUUAUGUAUUUCUUUCCAAUGCUAAAUCUGAAUACAUUGAACACACAAAAAUGUUUUUUAAGCACUUCACAUGUAAUAAUUAUGAUAAAUUUUAAAUAUGUUACUGUCCAACCGAAUUAUUUUUAAACAAGAAAAAAUAGACGCCAAAUGCAUUUUUAAAAAAAAAGCUUGUCUUUAUUAAAUGCUUCAUUGAGUGAGUCCGCUCAGAUCAACUCAAUUUGAUCGCUUACACACAAUGAGUUGCAACAGCAACUUUUUAAAUGAUGUUGACACAUGUGGCGCUUUUAAGUCUCAGCUUACCAGCGGCUCUGGCAAGAUCAAAGCUUAGUUUUCUGUCAAUCAUCGUUAACUUUUUAAAUAAAAAAAAAAAAAACUCCAGUUAUACUGCCUGAACAUCAAACAGCAUGGAGAGGACAGGAGGGAGGAAGGGAGAGUGAGACUACGCGAUCGGCUCGGGACAGCUCGUCUGUAUUUAUUUUUUAAGUGGAAAAAAAAAUCUGCGAUGGACUGAUGGCGCAAAGUUUGAAGCGCGAAGUAUCGAGGGAUCACUGUAUAUUUAUAUCUUCUGUCUGGGGUCAUUAAGAACUAAUGGGAUUAUGCUGAGUAAAAUUCAACAUAUUUCCUGGUAAGAACAUUAAUCUGUUCUAUUAUUAUUAAUUGAAGGGCAUUAGACAUUGCAGAGUUAGUACUUAAAUACAGAAUGCAAAUUUCACAUAUCUAUAAAAAGUAAUAAUAAUAAAUGAAUUUUAAAAUAUAUAAAAAGUUCCAAAUGAACUACGACCACCCGUUUCACAACCUAACCAACUCAUCUGCUCAGAAACUUGAUAAGUACAAGCAUAAAAAGCGUGCAUGCCCUCUACUGGCUAACUCAGAACAAAAUAACAAAAAUAACUGCAAUUAAUUAAGCAUCUGUUAGACAAAAGUAAUAAUAAAAAUCAGGCUUUGAGGAUCGAUGUGAAUACAUCCCUAAAAUACACCUGCCAAAGUUCAUCGUGACCCGUUCCCGGUGGAGUAUCAAUUCUUAAGUCUGCAAUGAAUUAAUCUGAUUAAUCAAGACAGAGAAGAAAAAUGGGGCUCCAAGAAUUGACGCAUAUAAAUUUCAUUCGAGCCAUUCACGAAUAACGGAGGAAUAGCAUUUUUAGUGUCCACACCAAGGACAAAAACAAGAACAACAAAGCGAGCCCUUCCCCUGGGGGGUCUAGUAAAAAUCAAAACAGUGCCAUGCUAUCCCAAUCUUGAUAAUCAUACAAGGAUUUAGUGCAUGGAUGUCUCGGACAAAAAGGCAACCCCCAAUUAUUUUGUAGGAAAUUCAGAUGUUUUGUUUUGCUAUCGGAAGAUUUUUAUCCAUUUUGGAUCUAAACCAUGUAUAGCUCAAUCCGCUUUUGGACAAUAGCUUAAUGAAAUGCAGCGCUUGACGUUAUUUGUUUGUCUUGCUGUUCCUCUGUUUCGUAAACAGUAAAGUAGAUUUGCCAACUGCAAAGAUUCCCACAGUCAGGCCAGCCAACUUACCUCCCCUCCUUUACGCACUGCGUUAGAGCCGGGAUGUGAGUAAGCCGACAACAUUUCUGACAAGCUGAACAAUGAAUUGUUCUUUCACUGCGGCAGAAGGUUUAUCAAACUGUGGGCUUCGAUUUUACACUGAGCAUGUCAAUUACUGAGUGAAUUCAGAGUAUAUACAGUAGGUCAUUCCUGAAUUGGAGGACAUUUUUUGCCUCUACCCUAAAAUUAUAUAUGAAAUAAUCCACAACAAAAAGAAACAUUUGUAAAUAGUAAAUUUCCUGAAUCAAAAUAUGACUAUAGCUUUGCAGCAAUAGUGAUUCAUUGAUGUUAUUUAGAAUGCAAAAUAAUUUUUGCAUUGAUGCCCUUUUAACCCUUAGAUGCACAAGUUACUGGACCCUACACUCUUCCAUGAGUGGGUCAAAAAUGACCCAUAUUAGAACCAAUGUGUUUUUAUGCCAUUUUGUUGAAGAAUAGUCACUUGUAUAUUAAUUAGUAUGAUAUUUAGGGCCACACAAGAAUGAUUUCAUGCUUGAAAUAUCUUUAUGAUUCAAUUUUUGGAGAAAAAAAAAAAAAUAAAAUACAAAAAAUAAAUAAACAGAACAGCAAUAGACUUCAUCCUUCCUUGGAUUUUAUCAUCAAUGAUAAAGAGCUCCCAUGCAUCUUUUUGGUGAGACAGCAGUGCUAAGCCCUUUUCUGAUGAUAUUGUGGCUCUGUGUUCUGCCAUGGGUGGGUGGUAAUUCUCUCUAGUAAGAGCCCUACCAACUCAUUCUGUUGGCCAUGAAUUGGACACUUUCUUCUUCAGAGGACACAUAAGUGGAAUCUUAUGAGUCAGAUUGAUCCUGUUCAGUGGGAUUUCCAGGUGGACAACUGCCACUGCCACCUGGACAAUAGUCUGGGUCCUCAUCAUCAGAAAUUUCAGACACUUGAGUCCAACCCCGUCACUGCCGCUCCAUCAUCCAACAUCUGUAGGACCAUUUCAGCUGAAAAUCCAGCACAAAUCCGAUUUUUUCGUGUUUUUCCGACUCGACUGAACGGGAAAAGUCGCAUAAAAGUGGACCAUUUUCAAAUUUUCACUUUCGUAUGUGGUUAAAAUCCCCUCCGGGCCACAUUUUGCCAGAAUGUGGCUGCGGUCCGAACUGUCAAGUCCCCCAAAUUGGAAUUCAUGCAGCAAUUAACAUCAGCAAAGCGCAAGAGAGACAGGGUGCUACAGUAGCGGUGCAGCUGUCCAUUAGCGUUAGCGCCUAGGUUGAACGCGGCUUUUGGGGAAGGAGCGGGCUUGACAACAUUCAUAAAAAAAUAAAAUGGGUUGAGAAUAAGCUUGACAAUGCUCGGUUUUCUCUCUGCUCCAAUGCUCCUGCGCAUGCGGGCCAGUUUGCUCAGCGCAUCUCAUACUGCGAAUUCGAGCGCAUGUGUGAUACUUGAACAGGCUCAAUGGACAAAGGCAGUCUGAACGGGUUCGCCAAAAAAACAGAUAUGACAAAAAAAAUCAGAAUUUUGCAUUAGGACCUGCGGUAUGAACCAAGCCUUUGUUAGCUAGCUAGUUAUGAAGUAGGUUAAUUUGUUGAUAAAUAAUAAUAAAGAGUCCUGAAAGACACACAACAUACUAUAUGGACAUAAUACUUAAAGUACACGUAUCAGCUCUUACUGUGUAAAAUAAUCUUCUUAAGGGAUGUCACUUUUUACAUACCUAGUCUGUGUGGUCCACGGUAAAUUUAUUCCUGACAGCCAAAAUUGAUAAGAAUGAAAAAUUCCCAUUGGAUUCCAUAGAAAAUGCAUGUGGGUCAUUUUUGAUCCACUUGUGGAAGCUUAGGGUAGUAAUACAAAAAUGACAAUUCCUUCAAAUGUAUAAAAAGUUCAUCAAAAAUUUGAAUGGCAUUAUAUCAAAAACAUGUUUUUUGAGGAAUACCUGGAAUAUGAAUUGAUAACAAUUUUUCAUUCCGAAGAUAUUUCAAGAAAACAACCUCACCGGGUCAUUUUUGACCCGCUUGUGCAUCUAAGGGUUAAGAUGAAUUUUCCCGUGUCCCAGAUGACACAGGAUGUAAAAUAUAAUCAAUCCCAAAAAAAACUUUCAAAUUAGCCUUUUUGUAUCAUUGUCUUCGCUGUAAUGAACUUAUGACCUUACGAUCGUCUGUGUUGUAUCUCAACGCAUAUGAUGUUAAUCAAAUAUUUUAAGCCAACAAAAGAGAAAAUGAGAUGCACAACUCAUCAGAAAUUACAUCAUGAAAGUAUAGCUACAAUAGACCGUGGUAUGUCAUCACAUGGGUUAGUAGUUUGUGCAGCGGGAAAAAAGUGAACUUUGAGCUAAAACUAACAAUAUCCUUUACAAUCCUGUUACUGUACUGUAGGAGCCAUGUUGUCUUUAGCAUUGAUGUUGAUUUUUUUUAUAGGCUUACUGUCUCUUUGCUUAUGAGCCUGGUUAUCUUCCUUUGCAUAUUGUUUGACUGUCUAGGCAUAUUUUCUGUUGACCGUUCUUUCACGUCUGCGCAUUAUUGUUUUUUGUUUUUUUGUUUUUGUUUUUUUUUUUUAUUAACUGAACCGCAAUCAGUUCGUAAAGCAUCGUUUGAAUUUGAUUUGGAACAAACACUUUAAACUUUACGUUCGGUUGAUUUGGAGUGAUUCAAUGAGUCAAGAAACCCUGCGCCUUUUAAGUCUCUCUGUGGCUAUUUUCAAAAUAGUCCCCACAUGUACUAUAGAACUAAGUCGCUAGAAAAUAAAAUCUUUCAUUAAAAACAGCAUAAGUGUGUGCUAGACAAAACAUUUUUACCUACUAAAUGAUCUGCACACCAAAUAAAUCAGUACCUACUAUGGGUGUAACGGUACAUGUAUUUGUAUUGAACCGUUUCGGUACGGGGUGCUCGGUUCGGAACAGAGGCGUACGGAAUGAGUUUCUGACGUAAUGUAACCCUUACUUUUCGAGGCUGUGAGUCGAUCGGGUUACAGUUUCUUUGUGUAGAUCACAUUUACUCCGUCUUCUCUACUAUAAUGAGGACCAACACGGUAGGACAGUAUAUAACCCAGAAACAUCAACGGCGCGACAACGUGGCCACCGCGAGAACGCAGUGAAAGAGCGUUAAAGUUAAUCAGCCAUUGCACACCAGUCGCAGUGCGUCCCAGAAGCGGCUCAACGCGACGCACGUGAAAAAAAAAACGGCAGAGUUCAUUAUUUGACGCGAGACGUGGCCCUCCUGCGUCAAUACUACUAGCUAGGAUCGGGCAGACCGGAAGUCACUCGUGUAAAAAUACGGUGGAUCAGGUCGAUUUUCAAACUAAUAUGCAAUCGUAACCCACUUUUUGAGUCCAUCAUAUCUCUUGAGUGGUAGAUCGGGGCACAGUUGACUUGUCUUUGUUGAUUUACUGCUAUCUUCUCUGCUAUAAUAAUAACCAACACGGCCCCGUGUUCAAUACAAAACCCUCCAACCACAACAAAAUAAGUAGGAACUAAUAUUCACAUAGGAACUAAAGUUAUACAACAUAAAAUAUACAAUAUAAAUGAAUACUACAUCACAUUUGUAAAAUAUAAACACAUAAUAAAAUAAAUAAUAGCCCAUUUAAAUAAAUUGAAAUGAGCUAAAACGCCUGUAAUUAAAUAAUAAGAAUAAUACACAGAUCCUGCUUACACAAUUUAUUAAUUUGUGGCGCUUCAACUUGAGAAAAUCCACCAAUAAAGCUUUUGAAAACCGUUCAUAAGAAAAAAAAAAAAGAUUCAUUUAGGCAUUUCAUUUGUAAAAUACAUGUUAAAAUCUUUGUCGUUGGGUUUGCUUUUCUCUUUAGCACAGGACUUUUUUCUUCUUUCUUUCAGAAAGAAAGCUGACCAAUACGUGGGGUCUGAAAGGCAAAUUGUUGUUGGAUUAUUAUCUUUAAAUACUUGCUACUUUUUUAGCAGAAUUCUAGCGUUGUAUGGGCUAAUGUUCCUAUUGUUGAAAGCACAAAAGUGUGUAAUAAACAACUAGCACAUUUAUAUUUUGCAUUUUGUUUUCUUACUGUACCGAAAAUGAACCGAACCGUGACCUCAAAACCGAGGUACGUACCAAACUGAGAUUUUUGUGUACCGUUACAACCCUACCUACUGUACCAUAAAUGUUGAAAUGACUUAGAUUCUGUGACAUUUCUGCCUUGUGGUGUGUUGGGAGACCUUUUCAAUGUAAAAUAUGAGCCUUGGCUCAGUUAAUGUUGGGAAUCACGGCCUGAAGAAAACAUGAGACCAGUGGAAAUCUGUCCAUGGUGUUGAAUCUGAUAUUUGAUUUACUUCAGUCCUCAAUGAGACACCCUAAAAAGAUUUUUUUUUUUACAGAUGGAGGUCAAACAGGCAAAAGCAAGGUUUGUUUUUGUUUGCACUGGAUGCCUGCAGGUGAGUCACUUUCACACCUAGAGUGAACAGUGAGAGGGGACACGCAAUGAACGAAGCUCUGCGUCAAAUAUGUGCGUCCGCGCCAAGGCAGAGGCCAAGUUACCGGCUUGGCCCACGUCACAGCUAUUUUUAGACCCGUCUGUGUGCUUGUCAGAUCGGUCUGACACUACAUCAAAAUAAUCCCCCGGACACCCAGUGCCAAAUUCUCCGGAGUAACCUAAUCUCGGAUGCAAUGUCAAGAGGCAGCACACACACGAUGAGGCAAACAAAUUCAAAUGAAAUUGUGAAUGAUAGGGGUUGUGAAUGGGUCAUUGAAAUAAAUUGUAUAGAUCUGAAACGUUUAAUUGGAUCAGAAAGCUGCAACCAUUUUAGGAAAUGCACAGGAAUUCACCUUUUCCUUGUUUGUCCUCAAUUAGAAUUUGACUAUUAUGAUUUGUAUCUAGUUACAGAUAACAAAAAUAACCCUGUGGAACCAGAAGAUAACCAUCACAACAUUGUCAUUGCAAAAAAUUAUAAACACGUUUUCUCAAAGUAUUUGGUUAGGGCUUUAUACAGCUUUUCUACACAAUCCCCAGUGAUACAUUUUAUAAAGCCAAAAACUUUAUGGUCACGUUUUAGUAACAGUGUUCUGAUUCCAUGUACCAGAUUUUAUUUGUGUGCAGCACUAGAAUUGGGAUGGAGCGGAUUGAACGGUGACUCGUGGCAUCGUGAAUACAUGGCGACAUCGUGUGGCUGGAAUAAUGACUGUUCAAUCAGAGUUGACAACCGGAACAACAGAUUUGACAACCAGAAUACAGAAAGUUAUCUUUGGUGCCAUGGCUUACUUUCAAGUCUGACACGACGGAAGACCUCAAACAGAGAAGCAACCGAGUGCAUGCGAUAGAAUAGGUUUAAAGGAACUGCAAAGUUGAGUGUUGUAGUCCAUAUGCUGAAACCAAAAGCCUCCUGUUCCAGCCCAUUCUCAUACUGCGGCCGACAGCCAAAGGCGGGGAGGAUCCAAAGCUAGGAAGAACACAGUUUCUUAGUAUCAGGCUGUCAUUGCUACCUAUGAUAAUGAAGAAAACUAAAGUUACUUUAUCCUGUGUAACAUCCCAGGAAGUUUAGAACAAAAAAACUGCUUAUACUUGUGUAAAAGUAGUCAAAACUUGGACUCUUUCGUAGAAGUAAAAGAACACCUGGACUGAGAAAUAACUGCCUCCUUUUUUUUUUUUUUUCUUUUUUUUUUUCUAAGAACAGU
Molecule: long non-coding RNA, 7533 nt
Organism: Corythoichthys intestinalis (scribbled pipefish)
Lineage: Eukaryota; Metazoa; Chordata; Actinopteri; Syngnathiformes; Syngnathidae
Exons: 3
Source: RefSeq, a predicted model, not a curated record